Molecule: long non-coding RNA, 895 nt
Filed under: Homo sapiens (human)
Lineage: Eukaryota; Metazoa; Chordata; Mammalia; Primates; Hominidae
Description: non-protein coding lnc-CALHM1-1:6
Source: RNAcentral
GCCACAUGGCUCUGCCUGAGCCCAUCUGGCAGCCUUCCUUGGCAGGGACAGAAGGGGUGAUCUAGAAGGGGUGAUCCCUCCAUGAAGCAUGGAAGGGAACAGGGCUAGGUCUGUGUUUGGCGCUCACCCCAUCCCUCCACUCCCUGGCUUCCUCUGGCCUGGGGAGUUUUGUUUUUCACCCUCCAGAGGGGGAGGACAUGGGGCCACACCCUGGCCUGUCUCUCAGGCUUGUGUGGGUGGAGGCUGGGAAGGGAGUUGGGCUAAACUUCGCUGUUGCCCGAGGCCAUGGCCACUUCCCGGCAGGUUGCCAGCGUCGCUACAGCCCAGACCAAGGCAGAAUAAUCUCCGGAUGAGCUGGUGGCACCGCUGAGCCUUUGGUCUCACCAGGGCUUCCUGUUGCUGGCAGGCGGGGUGGAGCGGAGCUGCUGGGAGGCUGCUGGAUAGGAGAGGGGUCACGGCUGCGGAAGAGGAGGUUCUUCGGGACACCCGUGGAUGGACACGGCAAGGAAAGAGCAAGGCUCAGGAUGAUUUAUCCUCUUUUCACUGAUGAGGAAUCUGAGGCCCAGAGAACAGUCAUGAAGUGUGAUCAGACCCUGAGGUCUCCAAAAAGAUAAUGUCCUUGCGAACUCCAGGGAUUCUGGCAUCUUGCUGUACCCACCCCAGCCCACACGGCAGGAUCCUAUCCAAGUCCCUUAUCCACCCGGACACUCACUUUAGCUUUUACACCCUCAAGGCUGAGACCCUAAGGACACGCCCUGGAUCCAAGGAGUCCCUGGCCCCUCUGCUAAUAUGCGCCACCUGGACUCCCAGAGGGAAAGCCGGUCAGCACCCCACAUGCAUUAGCACCAUGGGCCACCCCCAAGCCCUACCCCAGGAGAAGCUCGUGGUGGCAAAA